GAUGAACGCUGGCGGCGUGCCUAAUACAUGCAAGUCGAGCGAACGGACGAGAAGCUUGCUUCUCUGAUGUUAGCGGCGGACGGGUGAGCAACACGUGGAUAACCUACCUAUAAGACUGGGAUAACUUCGGGAAACCGGAGCUAAUACCGGAUAAUAUUUUGAACCGCAUGGUUCAAAAGUGAAAGACGGUCUUGCUGUCACUUAUAGAUGGAUCCGCGCUGCAUUAGCUAGUUGGUAAGGUAACGGCUUACCAAGGCAACGAUGCAUAGCCGACCUGAGAGGGUGGUCGGCCACACUGGAACUGAGACACGGUCCAGACUCCUACGGGAGGCAGCAGUAGGGAAUCUUCCGCAAUGGGCGAAAGCCUGACGGAGCAACGCCGCGUGAGUGAUGAAGGUCUUCGGAUCGUAAAACUCUGUUAUUAGGGAAGAACAUAUGUGUAAGUAACUGUGCACAUCUUGACGGUACCUAACCAGAAAGCCACGGCUAACUACGUG
RNAcentral lists this ribosomal RNA (497 nucleotides) under uncultured bacterium. RNAcentral describes it as "partial 16S ribosomal RNA". It matches the Rfam family "Bacterial small subunit ribosomal RNA", at positions 28 to 507 of the family's 1533-position model. The record is from RNAcentral.